This 233-nucleotide ribosomal RNA is filed under the name uncultured eukaryote. RNAcentral describes it as "partial 18S ribosomal RNA". It matches the Rfam family "Eukaryotic small subunit ribosomal RNA", at positions 629 to 868 of the family's 1831-position model. The record is from RNAcentral.
CGUAGUUGGACUUCUGAUGUGGGGAUUCGGUCCACCGCAAGGUGAGCACUGAUGUCCUUGCGUCUUCCUCUCGUAGUUGUUUGGCGCACUUAGUUGGGUGCCAGAUGAAUAUGGGACCUUUACUUUGAAAAAAUUAGAGUGUUCAAAGCAGGCGAUCGCUUGAAUACAUUAGCAUGGAAUAAUAGAAUAGGACUUUGGUUCUAUUUUGUUGGUUUCUAGGACCGAAGUAAUGA